AAAUUGAAGAGUUUGAUCAUGGCUCAGAUUGAACGCUGGCGGCAGGCCUAACACAUGCAAGUCGAACGGUAACAGGAAGCAGCUUGCUGCUUCGCUGACGAGUGGCGGACGGGUGAGUAAUGUCUGGGAAGCUGCCUGAUGGAGGGGGAUAACUACUGGAAACGGUAGCUAAUACCGCAUAAUGUCGCAAGACCAAAGAGGGGGACCUUCGGGCCUCUUGCCAUCGGAUGUGCCCAGAUGGGAUUAGCUUGUUGGUGGGGUAACGGCUCACCAAGGCGACGAUCCCUAGCUGGUCUGAGAGGAUGACCAGCCACACUGGAACUGAGACACGGUCCAGACUCCUACGGGAGGCAGCAGUGGGGAAUAUUGCACAAUGGGCGCAAGCCUGAUGCAGCCAUGCCGCGUGUAUGAAGAAGGCCUUCGGGUUGUAAAGUACUUUCAGCGGGGAGGAAGGGAGUAAAGUUAAUACCUUUGCUCAUUGACGUUACCCGCAGAAGAAGCACCGGCUAACUCCGUGCCAGCAGCCGCGGUAAUACGGAGGGUGCAAGCGUUAAUCGGAAUUACUGGGCGUAAAGCGCACGCAGGCGGUUUGUUAAGUCAGAUGUGAAAUCCCCGGGCUCAACCUGGGAACUGCAUCUGAUACUGGCAAGCUUGAGUCUCGUAGAGGGGGGUAGAAUUCCAGGUGUAGCGGUGAAAUGCGUAGAGAUCUGGAGGAAUACCGGUGGCGAAGGCGGCCCCCUGGACGAAGACUGACGCUCAGGUGCGAAAGCGUGGGGAGCAAACAGGAUUAGAUACCCUGGUAGUCCACGCCGUAAACGAUGUCGACUUGGAGGUUGUGCCCUUGAGGCGUGGCUUCCGGAGCUAACGCGUUAAGUCGACCGCCUGGGGAGUACGGCCGCAAGGUUAAAACUCAAAUGAAUUGACGGGGGCCCGCACAAGCGGUGGAGCAUGUGGUUUAAUUCGAUGCAACGCGAAGAACCUUACCUGGUCUUGACAUCCACGGAAGUUUUCAGAGAUGAGAAUGUGCCUUCGGGAACCGUGAGACAGGUGCUGCAUGGCUGUCGUCAGCUCGUGUUGUGAAAUGUUGGGUUAAGUCCCGCAACGAGCGCAACCCUUAUC
RNAcentral lists this ribosomal RNA (1119 nucleotides) under Escherichia coli. RNAcentral's name for it is "bacterial SSU rRNA". It matches the Rfam family "Bacterial small subunit ribosomal RNA", at positions 1 to 1109 of the family's 1533-position model. The record is from RNAcentral. Lineage: Bacteria; Pseudomonadati; Pseudomonadota; Gammaproteobacteria; Enterobacterales; Enterobacteriaceae.